UUAACCGUAUAGGGGAGCCGAAGGGAAACCGAGUCUUAACUGGGCGUUAAGUUGCAGGGUAUAGACCCGAAACCCGGUGAUCUAGCCAUGGGCAGGUUGAAGGUUGGGUAACACUAACUGGAGGACCGAACCGACUAAUGUUGAAAAAUUAGCGGAUGACCUGUGGCUGGGGGUGAAAGGCCAAUCAAACCGGGAGAUAGCUGGUUCUCCCCGAAAGCUAUUUAGGUAGCGCCUCGUGAAUUCAUCUCCGGGGGUAGAGCACUGUUUCGGCUAGGGGGCCAUCCCGGCUUACCAACCCGAUGCAAACUGCGAAUACCGGAGAAUGUUAUCACGGGAGACACACGGCGGGUGCUAACGUCCGUCGUGAAGAGGGAAACAACCCAGACCGCCAGCUAAGGUCCCAAAGUCAUGGUUAAGUGGGAAACGAUGUGGGAAGGCCCAGACAGCCAGGAUGUUGGCUUAGAAGCAGCCAUCAUUUAAAGAAAGCGUAAUAGCUCACUGGUCGAGUCGGCCUGCGCGGAAGAUGUAACGGGGCUAAACCAUGCACCGAAGCUGCGGCAGCGACGCUGAUGCGUUGUUGGGUAGGGGAGCGUUCUGUAAGCCUGUGAAGGUGGCCUGUGAGGGUUGCUGGAGGUAUCAGAAGUGCGAAUGCUGACAUAAGUAACGAUAAAGCGGGUGAAAAGCCCGCUCGCCGGAAGACCAAGGGUUCCUGUCCAACGUUAAUCGGGGCAGGGUGAGUCGACCCCUAAGGCGAGGCCGAAAGGCGUAGUCGAUGGGAAACGGGUUAAUAUUCCCGUACUUGGUGUUACUGCGAAGGGGGGACGGAGAAGGCUAUGUUGGCCGGGCGACGGUUGUCCCGGUUUAAGCGUGUAGGCUGGUUUUCCAGGCAAAUCCGGAAAAUCAAGGCUGAGGCGUGAUGACGAGGC
RNAcentral lists this ribosomal RNA (926 nucleotides) under Salmonella enterica subsp. enterica serovar Kentucky. RNAcentral describes it as "bacterial LSU rRNA". It matches the Rfam family "Bacterial large subunit ribosomal RNA", at positions 646 to 1575 of the family's 2925-position model. The record is from RNAcentral. Lineage: Bacteria; Pseudomonadati; Pseudomonadota; Gammaproteobacteria; Enterobacterales; Enterobacteriaceae.